This 395-nucleotide ribosomal RNA is filed under the name uncultured bacterium. RNAcentral's name for it is "partial 16S ribosomal RNA". It matches the Rfam family "Bacterial small subunit ribosomal RNA", at positions 523 to 918 of the family's 1533-position model. The record is from RNAcentral.
AUACGUAGGGGGCGAGCGUUGUCCGGAAUUACUGGGCGUAAAGGGUGCGUAGGCGGAAUGUCAAGUCAGAUGUGAAAUACCCGGGCUUAACCCGGGGGCUGCAUUUGAAACUGACAUCCUUGAGUGCAGGAGAGGCAAGUGGAAUUCCUAGUGUAGCGGUGAAAUGCGUAGAUAUUAGGAGGAACACCGGUGGCGAAGGCGACUUGCUGGACUGUAACUGACGCUGAGGCACGAAAGCGUGGGGAGCAAACAGGAUUAGAUACCCUGGUAGUCCACGCCGUAAACGAUGGAUACUAGGUGUGGGGUCCGAUAGGAUUCCGUGCCGCAGCAAACGCAAUAAGUAUCCCGUCUGGGGAGUACGAUCGCAAGGUUGAAACUCAAAGGAAUUGACGGGG